RNAcentral lists this unclassified non-coding RNA (216 nucleotides) under Hevea brasiliensis (rubber tree). Lineage: Eukaryota; Viridiplantae; Streptophyta; Magnoliopsida; Malpighiales; Euphorbiaceae. The record is from RNAcentral.
GUUGACGGUAUCCAACCCUUGUAAAACAUUGAAUAUUGACUUUUUACCUAAGUCAAAGAUGUGUGGUCUAUAGAUGUAGUUGGUCAAUUUCCAGCCAUCUAAACUGAUUGGUGUUCAUUCAACUUGUCCAUCUUGGUUAGAAGUGAUUCAACCUGACUCCUUGUCAUUAGCACCUCAUUUGAUGUGACUUUCUUUAUUUACUAGCUCCUUUGACUG